This 499-nucleotide ribosomal RNA is filed under the name uncultured bacterium. RNAcentral's name for it is "partial 16S ribosomal RNA". It matches the Rfam family "Bacterial small subunit ribosomal RNA", at positions 29 to 507 of the family's 1533-position model. The record is from RNAcentral.
ACGAACGCUGGCGGCGUGCCUCAUACAUGCAAGUCGUGCGGACCUUGUUGAAAGCUUGCUUUUAAAAGGUUAGCGGCGGACGGGUGAGUAACACGUGGGCAACCUGCCUGUAAGACUGGGAUAACGCCGGGAAACCGGGGCUAAUACCAGAUCGUUUUUUCCUCCGCAUGGAGGAAAAAGGAAAGGCGGCUUCGGCUGCCACUUACAGAUGGGCCCGCGGCGCAUUAGCUAGUUGGCGGGGUAAUGGCCCACCAAGGCAACGAUGCGUAGCCGACCUGAGAGGGUGAUCGGCCACAUUGGGACUGAGACACGGCCCAAACUCCUACGGGAGGCAGCAGUAGGGAAUCUUCCGCAAUGGACGAAAGUCUGACGGAGCAACGCCGCGUGAGUGAAGAAGGCCUUCGGGUCGUAAAACUCUGUUGCCGGGGAAGAACAAGUGCCGUUCGAACAGGGCGGCGCCUUGACGGUACCCGGCCAGAAAGCCACGGCUAACUACGUG